AAGAUCAAGCUGGUGGUCUAUGGUGAAAAUGUGCAUCACUGUGUUAGGCAUCAUCAGAAACUACCACGUAGAUUAAGGUAAGUUUGUAUUUGAAAAGCCCCAUCUGCAAGGUGGAGACCACAGAAUCUGGAAAAUUCUCUUGUGUAGCCAUCGCCCUUGUUAGGACACACGUUCCUGUCGUCUCAAAGCUUUUCCCCCACUCUUUGGUGUUCUUUCACCUGUGA
RNAcentral lists this long non-coding RNA (224 nucleotides) under Fukomys damarensis (Damara mole-rat). RNAcentral describes it as "lncRNA (ENSFDAG00000027636.1)". The record is from RNAcentral. Lineage: Eukaryota; Metazoa; Chordata; Mammalia; Rodentia; Bathyergidae.